RNAcentral lists this non-coding RNA (82 nucleotides) under Pseudomonas sp. SJZ077. Lineage: Bacteria; Pseudomonadati; Pseudomonadota; Gammaproteobacteria; Pseudomonadales; Pseudomonadaceae. The record is from RNAcentral. RNAcentral also lists the same sequence under 1 other name.
UGUUAUGGUGGCUUUGUGUGGGAGACCUUCGGGUCUGCCGGGUUCCUCGUAUCCUCGGUCUGCGAACCCGACUACCCCGUGC